CUGCUCUCAAAUUGUUACGUGCAAAUUUCCUCUUAAUGAGUGACUAGAGAUAAGGCAGAAACGGCUACCAAGAAGAUUGCCACCCCUUGCUUCUGUCAUGGCAUUGGGAGUAUAUAGUAAAUAUCCUGGAGCAAAGUUCUCCAAAACCAUUGGCAAUACUUAAGUAGCUUCAGCCUCUCUAACUAGCAAGAGUGAAAUGAAUUAAAAGUUACUGCUCCCUGGCUAGUGGAACUUUACAAACUGGUUUUGGAUAAGACUCAGAAGAGCAAACAGACACACAUGGUCUUGCUUUUCUAGAAUUCUCUAAGGAAGUUUUUUAAAGGAAAUUGUUGGAUUGUGUGAAAUACUUUGCUACUGAAAUAAAGCGAUUGAAGCACUGAUGUCUAGUUGCUUUUCGAGUUUAUUCUUUUUAGAAUAAUUUGUAUGAUAUGAUCUUUUACAAUCCGCUGCUUAAUGUCGUCGUGAGAACCUAGGCCAAUGAGAAACGUAGACCUGUCUGUUGUCUGAGCUUAUAUGGUCUGCAUCAGCUAAAAUAGUCCCCUUUUAACUUGUAAGUCAAAGUCCACCUUAUGUCUGAGUACUUUACAUAGCUUUCCACCCCUCGCCCUAAGAGGGGAAAAAAGGGUUGUAUCUUAUUUGUAGUGAAAUUAGGGCUGGUUGUGAUGGUGACAUCCCUGGCACAUCUCAAGGCAAAAAGCUGGGAGGCAAAAACCAGGAGUCCUCUGCGUACUGGUCAGAAGUAAAUCUGCUGCACAGAACUUGGGAGGAUUCCCCCAAAUGAUCCACAAGUUCAGAGUACCAGCCUCACAGCUCACUUGUGAGAAAGUGCCGCGCAUUUCUAGCCAUUUCAAAUGCUGGAAGGCACUCAAAUUCAGAAGUUAGUGUUGUGGUGCAUGUAGAGAGCAGCUUAUGCGCUGGGUCCCUCAUUCGAGAGAAUGAGAAGCCAGCAGAUAUCUGAGCACAGGGAUGCGUGUUUGGGUGUUGAUGCAAAUGGGGAGCCUGUUGCAGGUAAGAAGACUGGAGGUGUCCCCUUGGAGCUGCUGCUUCUGAUUCAGAUUUGCUGCAUUAGUUUUUUAUGCACUGAGCGAAGCGGUGUGCUUUGGUUAUAGACACAUGGUGAGCACUGCUGCAGAUAACAGCCCCCUCUUCCGCCUCUGUAAGUGGCAUGUAGGCCGAGUUACCUUGUGUCCUUACAAUAAGCAUUUCCUUCCCUCUGCCCUUUCUGUUGAUGGCAGGAAAAUUCUCAGCAGUGUGAUACCAACACACAAGUUGGAGUAAGCAUUCCAGAUGGGGCUCUGGGAGUUCCAGCCCCGUGGCCCUUUAUAAGAGUUCUUCCGAAAGGUUAACCGUUUAUGCUAUGUCAGGUAAAUUUUAGAAAAAUUCUGCUCCCUUUCGAGUGCAAACUGUCUCGCCAUGUCGUUCCCCGUUGCAAAUGAGAUCUCUCGUUUGUUUGCUCUCCGGUACCAGCACUGCAUCUUUCUCAGGUAUUUAUAUAUAUAUAUAUAUAUAUAUGAUUUAUGUUACUUGAGGUAUUUGCAUUCUAGGUUGUGUCUCUUUGUUUUUCCAAAUGCACACACUUCUAAAAUGGGUGUCUUUACAUGUGAGCUAUUCUACCUUGCAAUGCUUUCCUUCUUGCGGAGCAGGGGGGGAAAAGUGCUAUCUUUCAGAAGGUGUGCGUGCUGUCCGCGUGUUCAGUUUGUGUCGACCAAAAUUCCCUAACCACUGUACUUGAUUGUCUUUGAAUUUGUCUUCAGGUUAAUUAGUUGAAACAUAGAAGGUGUGCAGAAACAAUUAGAGCAUGCAAGUGGUGACUGCUCAUAGGGCAAGGAUGGUGUCGCAAGGCCUUGUGUGCGUGCACUGCUUAUUUUGAAAACUCAGUGCCCUUGGCAUAGUGCAUGCAGUUCCCUCCGCUCUCACGAUCGCUCCAUUUUCUUCCUGAGAGAUGGUUGUUGCCCACCAUGGUCUGUGCAUAGCCAGAAUUGUGCUUUCAAGCUGGGGUUAUGUAGGAGAGGCAUGGAGGAGUUAACCAGCCUUUUCCAGGAUACACCCCAUGUUUCUGAUGGCAUAGAGAGAGAGAGAGAGAGAUGCGAGCCAAAGAACUGUCGUUCUGGCCUUCAAAAGUUCAAGGGCAUGUGUUAAAACCCUAGUCUGGGGUCCUUCCUAGUGAGGAAAGAGCAACUAUGUGGCCAAAGCAAAUACCAAUGAUGCUUGACUUUCACCCCCAAUGUGACUAGUGAUCAGAGAUGAUGGAAGCUAUAUUCCAGCAGCUUUCAGAGGGCCACAGGUCUCCACUUCCCUGUGAUACAGUCUACGUCCUUGCUUUCAUUUGCUUACUUGUCACCAUGUCCUCUUCUCCACAACUAACUCCUGGAGACUACUUUCCAUAAAAGAAUGCCCCCCUCCAUUUUAACCAAAAUUGUAGAAAUAGGUCUGAUAUUGUUAUAGUUCUAAAUUAUAAUAAGCUGGAAUGUAGCCUCCAAUUAUAGCCCCUUAACCUGGGAAGUCGGCUUAUAGCUGUGGCUGCAAGACUAUUGCCACUGUCACUCUUUUACAUACCAAAAUUUUAAGGUAGGGUACAGUCUUGCAACCUGGGAUGAAGUUCCGUUCUUUUUAAUGGAGCUUAAUUCUGAGUUAGCAUGUGCAGGAUUUCCCUCUAAGCCAGAGUAACUAUCCCUAAUAAGUCAGUUGUGGUUGUAGGUCUCUUUCUCUUUCUUUCUCUCUCUCUUUCUUCCUCUCUAUAUCUCUAUCUCAUUCUCAAUGGUCUCUGAAACCCUCAGAUAGCUCAUAGCUGAAAGGUGAAAAGGUAAAAUGACAUAUCUUGUUUUUAACCACAUCAUACCCUUUGCAUGGGUGCUGUCAAGACAUGGUUGAAACAUGAAUGUGUUCAUCAUUGAAUGUGUGCUCUGAAACAGCUUCGAGUGCUUAGAUGGAAUGAUAACUCGACCACACCUUCCCCUGGGUGGAAUCCAGUUUCACAAGGGUGGCUUAAGAGUUUUUUGGGGGUUUUUAAUGUCAGGCUGGUGGUCAUACUCUGAUUUUAGAAACCUGCUGUUCCAUGUGAGCACAUCUGAGUUGCCACCGCAGUGUAUAGCUGUUGUAAAUUAUUCCAAACAUCUGACCUGCUUUUGGGGGCCUUGGGGCGGCUGUCCUACAUGUGGGCAUUCUUGGGUUUUCAGCAUUUAAGUGAGAUUCCGCUUUAUCACAUCCCAGAGAUCCAGAAUCAGGGUAGUGACUAAUGCUUAGCUUUCACAGGUUACAGGUGAGGCAGUCAAAAUGUUCCUGAACAUCAGACUGCAGGUGGCAGAUUACAUAACAGGGUCAUUUUCCAUGGGAGAGGGGCCAAUUCUAGUUUUGUACGUACCUGUGAGCAGGCUGGGCUAGAACCCCUUUCCUUUCUAUGUGCACAAAUAUCUUUUUCCACGAAAGAAGCCUUCUGCCUUCAGUCUGAAGUGUUCAUGAACAGCUCCUCUCGGUGGGAACUAGGACUCACGAGUCUGAGCUGAGACACCCAGGACUCGCUGGGUGGCAUCUUUUCACCCUCUGCUUAUCUUCUAUAUAAGGUGGGGAUGAGAAUACCAUUCUGUAUUACAGGAGUGUUGUGAGAAGUACUAAGAUGAUAUGGGGCAAUCCUUCAGAAUAUUCAAAGUGAUUUAUGAAACAGAAUUUUAACCUGCACGGCUCCCAAGUCCUACAAGCCGUCAGAAUCGGUUUUAAGAGUUCUCUGUACAUCUUCCUUUCCAUGAUGCUGCACAGGUGAUGUGCUAAAAAGAAACCUCUUGUCUCCUCUUUUUUUAAGGGACCCUGUUUUCAUACUUUGGAGAGCUGCCGGGUUUCCUUGUAUUUCUAUCAGUCGGUCUGUUUGUUUGUUUGUUUUCCUCUUGUGUGAAUUUAGACCGAAGAAAAUGUGUGUGGAUCUGAAUCUGUAUUGUCUGCUCUUUGGUGAGACACUGAUCUGAAUUUGUUUUGUUUACAUCAUCUGUUAAUAAAAGAUUGGCACCGAA
Molecule: long non-coding RNA, 4001 nt
Organism: Podarcis raffonei (Aeolian wall lizard)
Lineage: Eukaryota; Metazoa; Chordata; Lepidosauria; Squamata; Lacertidae
Exons: 2
Source: RefSeq, a predicted model, not a curated record